UUUAUUGAGAGUUUGAUCCUGGCUCAGGACGAACGCUGGCGGCGUGCUUAACACAUGCAAGUCGAGCGAUGAAGCUCCUUCGGGAGUGGAUUAGCGGCGGACGGGUGAGUAACACGUGGGUAACCUGCCUCAUAGAGGGGAAUAGCCUUUCGAAAGGAAGAUUAAUACCGCAUAAGAUUGUAGUACCGCAUGGUACA
RNAcentral lists this non-coding RNA (197 nucleotides) under Clostridium butyricum E4 str. BoNT E BL5262. RNAcentral's name for it is "Bacterial small subunit ribosomal RNA". It matches the Rfam family "Bacterial small subunit ribosomal RNA", at positions 1 to 197 of the family's 1533-position model. Lineage: Bacteria; Bacillati; Bacillota; Clostridia; Eubacteriales; Clostridiaceae. The record is from Rfam by way of RNAcentral.